This is a long non-coding RNA of Aptenodytes forsteri (emperor penguin), 467 nucleotides long. RefSeq lists it as uncharacterized. NCBI's taxonomy places the organism in Eukaryota, Metazoa, Chordata, Aves, Sphenisciformes, Spheniscidae. The record is from RefSeq and is a predicted model, not a curated record. The transcript is spliced from 2 exons.
AAGCCUUAAUCGCGUUGGCUGCGAUUCAUCCGAUGAGAUGUACACGUCCACAUCUGUGCCGGCCGUCUAGACUCCCCUUAUAGUCACUGGAAAGAAAUAGGCACUUCCAGGGCGUGAUUCAUCUCAUCCUAAAGUAAAUGCCUAAAUUAGGUCAGAUGAAUUGUACCCUAAGAGUACGUUUCUCUCCAGUCUCUGAAGGGAGCUGAGCUGCGCCAUCCGUGGCAGAUGUUCACACCAGAUAUUUACAGUACGCUGAGAUAAUUCCCACCCUCUGUGUCACGUUGCUGAUAUUGGAAGAUCUCGAGAAAAUAAUCACAUGUGUAAGACUACGUCCCCGUUUCCAGUGCGGAUCCGCGCUGGCGAUAGACUGUGUAUGCUGUAGCUGGUCCCGUAUCAGAAGAUUGUGAACGGACUUUAAAAUCGGGAGAUGUAUUUUAUUUUUUUCUUAAAUGAAGGAUGGCUUGGGG